This 599-nucleotide ribosomal RNA is filed under the name Burkholderia sp. ICB478. RNAcentral describes it as "bacterial SSU rRNA". It matches the Rfam family "Bacterial small subunit ribosomal RNA", at positions 100 to 708 of the family's 1533-position model. The record is from RNAcentral. Lineage: Bacteria; Pseudomonadati; Pseudomonadota; Betaproteobacteria; Burkholderiales; Burkholderiaceae.
CGGUGAGUAUACAUCGGAAACGUGUCCGGAGGGGGAUACCCCGGCGAAACCGGAUUAAUCCCGCAUACGCUCUGUGGAGGAAAGCGGGGAUCUUCGGACCUCGCGCUCAAGGGGCGCCGAUGGCAGAUUAGCUAGUUGGUGGGGUAAAGGCCUACCAAGGCGACGAUCUGUAGCUGGUCUGAGAGGACGACCAGCCACACUGGGACUGAGACACGGCCCAGACUCCUACGGGAGGCAGCAGUGGGGAAUUUUGGACAAUGGGGGCAACCCCUGAUCCAGCAAUGCCGCGUGUGUGAAGAAGGCCUUCGGGUUGUAAAGCACUUUUGUCCGGAAAGAAAACCGCUUCUCUAAUACAGAGGGCGGGAUGACGGUACCGGAAGAAUAAGCACCGGCUAACUACGUGCCAGCAGCCGCGGUAUACGUAGGGUGCAAGCGUAUCGGAAUUACUGGGCGUAAAGCGUGCGCAGGCGGUUCGCUAAGACCGAUGUGAAAUCCCCGGGCUUAACCUGGGAACUGCAUUGGUGACUGGCGGGCUAGAGUAUGGCAGAGGGGUAGAAUUCCAAACGUGUAGCAGUGAAAUGCGUAGAGAUUGAGCACUA